RNAcentral lists this ribosomal RNA (437 nucleotides) under uncultured bacterium. RNAcentral describes it as "partial 16S ribosomal RNA". It matches the Rfam family "Bacterial small subunit ribosomal RNA", at positions 29 to 507 of the family's 1533-position model. The record is from RNAcentral.
AGCGAACGCUGGCGGCAGGCUUAACACAUGCAAGUCGAGCGGGCAUCCUUGUGGUGUCAGCGGCAGACGGGUGAGUAACGCGUGGGAACGUGCCCUUCGGUUCGGAAUAACUCAGGGAAACUUGAGCUAAUACCGGAUACGUGCGAGAGCAGAAAGGUUUAUCUGCCGAAGGAUCGGCCCGCGUCUGAUUAGCUAGUUGGUGAGGUUAUGGCUCACCAAGGCGACGAUCAGUAGCUGGUCUGAGAGGAUGAUCAGCCACACUGGGACUGAGACACGGCCCAGACUCCUACGGGAGGCAGCAGUGGGGAAUAUUGGACAAUGGGGGCAACCCUGAUCCAGCCAUGCCGCGUGAGUGAUGACGGCCUUAGGGUUGUAAAGCUCUUUUCUUCGGGACGAUAAUGAUGGUACCGGAGGAAUAAGCCCCGGCUAACUUCGUG